Long non-coding RNA from Strigops habroptila (Kakapo), 2301 nucleotides. NCBI's taxonomy places the organism in Eukaryota, Metazoa, Chordata, Aves, Psittaciformes, Psittacidae. The record is from Ensembl.
AACAUUUGGAAAUCUGACAUUUUUCUGAUCGCAUUUCAAUUUAUAAAACCACAUAAAUAUAUUUAUAUUGCACCUAGAGCCUGUGCUUAGCUGUUUGUUUCUCUUUUUCCUGUCCACAGACAUCUGUCCUUCCCCUCUCUCCUUAUCUAAGAUAAGCAGCUUCAGUUUACACAUAUGGUACCUUGCAAAAGCAUGGUCUGGAAAAUUAGUUCUUGAAAGGAUUAAUAUUUUUCCCCUUCCAUCACAAAUAUGUUUCUUCUCCUGGUGACAACAUGUUUCACUUCACAAACAGAACGGGCACUGCCUGCUCUGGCAUACGGGAGCAUUUCUCUUCCGUGCAAAGCAAGCUGCACACAGCCCAGCACAGGAAUAACAGUAACAUGGUUUGUCAUAUUGAUGUGGCUGAAAGUAAACAAAACAAUUCCUCUUAAAAAAAAAAAAAAAGGCUUCUGCAGGCAUUGUCGUGCUUUCAGGGAGAGCUAUUUCCAUUCUGCAGUCAUUGCAAUACCAGCCUGGCCAUUUGAAAGUGAAGGAAAUUUCUACCACUCAUUUUGACUUGCUUUUAAAUGCUUUUCCUUUAUGUUGUGCGCAGCAUUGAAAUUACAUGCAAAGGCUUGUCCUUCAAAUACCUUAUACAAACCAGGGGGAAGAAACCUCUCCUUGCCUGCCUUUCAAUUCUUGGUGCAGUGCAAUGGAAACCCUUCCAAGGAGGGUUUCUGUCCUGAAGGGAUUUGUUCUGCUAUCCCACACCAGCAUCCUACUAUGUGCAAGAAUCAGCAAUUUUCCUCUUGAGGACUCGGAUAAAUCCCCUCUCCCCCCCACUCUAGUUUUUUCAAAGGUUUCUUUCCUACCACCACCCUCCUGUGUUGCACACAUGCUCCUCUGCUUUUUGGUUGCCCAGACCAGGGCCACAGACAAAAUCCAUCCAGGCAUUUGGAUCACUCUCAAGACCAACCAAUGUUAUAUUAUGUGAUUGCAGGUAAAAAAAAGAGCAAACCUCCCCAUCCCUUGUUUUAAGAAAGAUGUGGUCUUCUGGCCUCCACAACACUAAACCUGACUGCAUUAUUUUUAUAGCUACCAACUUGGCCAUCAAACUUUUCACCCCCAGGACCAUGUUUACUCAUUCUCAGUGCAUCCAAACACAGUGAGUGGUCCAUACCACAAAGCAAUAUAGGGUAAACAUUAAUAACAGAAGGAAAAACGUGCAAAGAGAACAGGAGAAACAGCAAAAACUGAAGCCAGACACGAUUCUGCCACAAGGGGAAAUAAAAACCUUUUACAAUGGGGAGAAUAAAAGGUGAGAAAACUAAGGGAGGACAGAGGCAAGGUAAAAGAGUAAGAUGAACUAAAGCUAAGGGAAAGAAACACAUGACAACAGCAAAUAGAAAUAAGAAUUGUUAAUCUUGAAUACAACACAAACUUUGACAGUCUGUGAUAUGUGCAACCACAAAUUUAUUAUACAAACCUAUUUUCACAGGGUGAUGCUGAACUGGCUGCUCCACUGAUACCGUAUUCUACUCUUGAGGCUCAGUUGUUCAGGGUCUAGGACUAUGUAAGUCAUAAACAGCAAGUAGGCAAAAUGGGUACGCUGUAAAUCCAGAUAUAAAAGACAGGAACUGACUUUGCUUAUGUUGACGAGUGUAUUACUUAAAGAAAAGUUAUAUAACUUUAUCAUUGCUCAAAUAAACAAGCAAAUAGCAAAGCUGGUUGUUACAGUUUGCUAAGGCAGGAUCCUCGUCUUUAUUUAUAAAUUCCAAAAAGGAAAUAGAAAUCUUUAGAUUUCAUUUCUCCAUUGCUUUAGGGGGCUUUUAAAACAAAAAUAGAACAUGUAACUUGAACUGUCCCACUUUCAAAGUUGGAGCUAUGUGGUACAUCUCCCCAUACUGACUACUCUUCCAAGUAAAAAUUUGCAAUCUCUCUCAGUAAUUGAAGCAAAGAGAAAAAGAUUCAAGCUUUGAUAAUGAUUGGCAAAUUUCAAGUAGUUUGGAUAAGUAACCCCCCAAAGUUCAAAAUGAAUAUUCAGAUUUUGUUGUGCAGCAUGGUCUGCAAAUUGAGGAUAGAAAUCUCAGAUGAUAACUAUCUUAGAUCUCCUCUAAGAUCCUCCAUAUGCCCUAGUUACAUCUAAGUAGGAAAUAACCCCAAACCAGCAACAUAUUUAUUUAUAAAAUGCAGAGAUGUCUGAAUUUUCAAAAUGAAAAUAUUGAGGAAAAAGAUUCACUAAGAAAUCACAAACUUCCAAACAGUCUAGCUUAAUACUGGGCCCAUUCCCACGCCACCUAGAUCUCUUAAGUAGUUUAUCAU